This 253-nucleotide ribosomal RNA is filed under the name uncultured bacterium. Its description in RNAcentral is "partial 16S ribosomal RNA". It matches the Rfam family "Bacterial small subunit ribosomal RNA", at positions 524 to 776 of the family's 1533-position model. The record is from RNAcentral.
UACGGGGGGGGCAAGCGUUGUUCGGAAUUACUGGGCGUAAAGGGCUCGUAGGCGGCCAACUAAGUCAGACGUGAAAUCCCUCGGCUUAACCGAGGAAGUGCAUCCGAAACUGAGUCGCUAGAGUACGAUAGAGGGUCGCGGAAUUCCCGGUGUAGAGGUGAAAUUCGUAGAUAUCGGGAGGAACACCGGUGGCGAAGGCGGCGACCUGGGUCGAUACUGACGCUGAGGCGCGAAAGCGUGGGGAGCAAACAGG